UACGAAGGGGGCUAGCGUUGUUCGGAAUUACUGGGCGUAAAGCGCGCGCAGGCGGCUAUCCAAGUCAGUGGUGAAAGCCCGGAGCUCAACUCCGGAACUGCCAUUGAAACUGUUUAGCUGGAGUAUGAGAGAGGUGAGUGGAAUUCCCAGUGUAGAGGUGAAAUUCGUAGAUAUUGGGAAGAACACCGGUGGCGAAGGCGGCUCACUGGCUCAUUACUGACGCUCAGGCGCGACAGCGUGGGGAUCAAACAGGAUUAGAUACCCUGGUAGUCCACGCCGUAAACGAUGAAUGCUAGCCGUUGGAUAGCUUGCUAUUCAGUGGCGCAGCUAACGCAUUAAGCAUUCCGCCUGGGGAGUACGGCCGCAAGGUUGAA
RNAcentral lists this ribosomal RNA (374 nucleotides) under uncultured bacterium. RNAcentral describes it as "bacterial SSU rRNA". It matches the Rfam family "Bacterial small subunit ribosomal RNA", at positions 524 to 898 of the family's 1533-position model. The record is from RNAcentral.